This 275-nucleotide ribosomal RNA is filed under the name uncultured bacterium. RNAcentral describes it as "partial 16S ribosomal RNA". It matches the Rfam family "Bacterial small subunit ribosomal RNA", at positions 28 to 311 of the family's 1533-position model. The record is from RNAcentral.
GAUAAACGCUGGCGGCGUGCCUAAUGCAUGCAAGUCGAACGGUCUAGCUUCUUCGGAAGAUAGGUAGUGGCAAACGGGCGAGUAACACGUGGGAUCUGCCCAGUAGUGGGAACAACUCCGAGAAAUCGGAGCUAAUACCGCAUACGGUCUGUAUCGAGGGAUACGAGACUAAAGCGAGCAAUCGCGCUAUUGGAGGAACCUGCGGCUGAUUAGCUAGUUGGUGGGAAGCCGUACCAGCGAUGAUCAGUAGCUGGUCUGAGAGGAUGGACAGCCAC